GUUUUAAUAGUUUAACAUAAAACUUUGGUCUUGUAAAUCAAAAAUGAAAAAUUUUUUCUUAAAACU
RNAcentral lists this transfer RNA (66 nucleotides) under Emerita talpoida. RNAcentral describes it as "tRNA-Thr". It matches the Rfam family "tRNA". From Rfam's summary of the family: Transfer RNA (tRNA) molecules are approximately 80 nucleotides in length. Their secondary structure includes four short double-helical elements and three loops (D, anti-codon, and T loops). Lineage: Eukaryota; Metazoa; Arthropoda; Malacostraca; Decapoda; Hippidae. The record is from RNAcentral.